GAUGAACGCUGGCGGCGUGCCUAAUACAUGCAAGUCGAGCGAACAGAUGAGGAGCUUGCUCCUCUGACGUUAGCGGCGGACGGGUGAGUAACACGUGGAUAACCUACCUAUAAGACUGGGAUAACUUCGGGAAACCGGAGCUAAUACCGGAUAAUAUAUUGAACCGCAUGGUUCAAUAGUGAAAGACGGUUUUGCUGUCACUUAUAGAUGGAUCCGCGCCGCAUUAGCUAGUUGGUAAGGUAACGGCUUACCAAGGCAACGAUGCGUAGCCGACCUGAGAGGGGGAGAGGACACACUGGAACUGAGACACGGUCCAGACGACUACGGGAGGCAGCAGUAGGGAAUCUUACGAAAUGGGCGGAAGCCUGACGGAGCAACGAAGAGUGAGUGAUGAAGGUCUUCGGAUCGUAAAACUCUGUUAUUAGGGAAGAACAAAUGUGUAAGCAACUAUGCACGUCUUGACGGUACCUAAUCAGAAAGCCACGGCUAACUACGUG
Molecule: ribosomal RNA, 497 nt
Filed under: uncultured bacterium
Lineage: Bacteria
Description: partial 16S ribosomal RNA
Rfam family: Bacterial small subunit ribosomal RNA
Source: RNAcentral